Molecule: ribosomal RNA, 440 nt
Filed under: uncultured bacterium
Lineage: Bacteria
Description: partial 16S ribosomal RNA
Rfam family: Bacterial small subunit ribosomal RNA
Source: RNAcentral
CCUACGGGUGGCUGCAGUGGGGAAUAUUGCACAAUGGGGGAAACCCUGAUGCAGCGACGCCGCGUGAGUGAAGAAGUACUUCUUUAUUUAAAGCUCUAUCAGCACGGAAGAAAAUUACGUUACCUGAGUAAUAAGCCCCGUCUAACUACGUUCCAGCAGCCGCGGUAAUACGUAGGGGGCAAGCGUUAUCCGGAUUUACCGGGUGUAAAGGGAGCGUAGAGGGCAUUGUAAGACUGGAGUGAACGGCGGGGGCUCAACCGCGGGACUGCACGGGAAACUGUACGGCUGGAGUGCAGGAGAGGUAAGUGGAAUUCGUAGUGUAGCGGUGAAAUGCGUAGAUAUUAGGAGGAACACCAGUGGCGAAGGCAGCUUACUGGAGUGUUACUGACGUUGAGGCUCGAAAGCGUGGGGAGCAAACAGGAUUAGAUACCCCAGUAGUC